This 405-nucleotide ribosomal RNA is filed under the name Triticum aestivum (bread wheat). RNAcentral's name for it is "partial small subunit ribosomal RNA". Lineage: Eukaryota; Viridiplantae; Streptophyta; Magnoliopsida; Poales; Poaceae. The record is from RNAcentral.
AUGGAUGCAGAAGGGAUAGAAUUGGAGGUUCUUGUUGGCCUUAGUUCACAAAUAUGUAAUGUCAUUCCAGGUGAUUUUGCACGAGAACUAGAGCAUGGUCAGAUUAAGGAAAGAUUUAUAAAGAGGCUUGUUGAUGCACUUAAGAAAAAUAUGAUACCCACUGCUCAUUGUCCCGGAAUCAGGAGGGUGAUAGUUGAACAUGCCAUAUACAUGAUGGAGUGUAAUCCUGGCAACGCCAACUGUUUCAAAAAAUACUGGAUGAUGGAAGCACUGUUAAAGGUGGAGCGUACAACUUCAAUUGCUGAAAAUUACAGGUUCUUCUCGGGUGAUGCAGGACUCAUGGAGCACAGCGUACCUCUAUCUGCACUUGUGGCUAGAGCAAAAGAGCUGAUGGGCCGUGGGUAG